GAUGAACGCUGGCGGCGUGCCUAAUACAUGCAAGUAGAACGCUGAAGGCGGAGCUUGCUCUUCUGGAUGAGUUGCGAACGGGUGAGUAACGCGUAUGUCACCUGCCUGGUAGCGGGGGAUAACUAUUAGAAACGAUAGCUAAUACCGCAUGACAACAGUUCUUGCAUGAUAACUGUUUAAAAGGGGCAACUGCUCCACUACCAGAUGGACCUGCGUUGUAUUAGCUUGUUGGUGAGGUAACGGCUCACCAAGGCGACGAUACAUAGCCGACCGGAGAGGGGGAUCGGUCACACUGGGCCUGAGACACGGCCCAGACCCCUACGGGAGGCAGCAGUAGGGAAUCUUCGGCAAUGGACGGAAGUCUGACCGAGCAACGCCGCGUGAGUGAAGAAGGGUGUCGGAUCGUAAAGCGCUGUUGUAAGAGAAGAACGAGUGUGAGAGUGGAAAGUUCACACUGUGACGGUAUCUGACCAGAAAGGGACGGCUAACUACGUG
This 495-nucleotide ribosomal RNA is filed under the name uncultured bacterium. RNAcentral describes it as "partial 16S ribosomal RNA". It matches the Rfam family "Bacterial small subunit ribosomal RNA", at positions 28 to 507 of the family's 1533-position model. The record is from RNAcentral.